AUUGAACGCUGGCGGCAGGCCUAACACAUGCAAGUCGAACGGUAACAGGAAGCAGCUUGCUGCUUCGCUGACGAGUGGCGGGCGGGUGAGUAAUGUCUGUGAAACUCCCUGAUGGAGUGGGAUAACUACUGGAAACGGUAGCUAAUACCGCAUAACGUCGCAAGACCAAAGAGGGGGACCUUAUGGCCUCUUGCCAUCUGAUGUGCCCAGAUGGGAUUAGCUAGUAGGUGGGGUAACGGCUCACCUAGGCGACGAUCCCUAGCUGGUCUGAGAGGAUGACCAGCCACACUGGAACUGAGACACGGUCCAGACUCCUACGGGAGGCAGCAGUGGGGAAUAUUGCACAAUGGGCGCAAGCCUGAUGCAGCCAUGCCGCGUGUAUGAAGAAGGCCUUCGGGUUGUAAAGUACUUUCAGCGGGGAGGAAGGGAGGAAAGUUAAUACCUUGGCGUAUUGACGGUACCCGCAGAAGAAGCACCGGCUAACUCCGUG
This 490-nucleotide ribosomal RNA is filed under the name uncultured bacterium. RNAcentral describes it as "partial 16S ribosomal RNA". It matches the Rfam family "Bacterial small subunit ribosomal RNA", at positions 30 to 507 of the family's 1533-position model. The record is from RNAcentral.